This 21-nucleotide non-coding RNA is filed under the name Caenorhabditis elegans. Lineage: Eukaryota; Metazoa; Nematoda; Chromadorea; Rhabditida; Rhabditidae. The record is from RNAcentral.
UGAAAGAUUGAAAACCCAUUU